Non-coding RNA from Triticum urartu, 4001 nucleotides. Lineage: Eukaryota; Viridiplantae; Streptophyta; Magnoliopsida; Poales; Poaceae. The record is from RefSeq and is a predicted model, not a curated record.
GUAUCAUUCCAAUCCGCCGAAAUCGUCGUUUCCCAUUCUCCACCACCAUCACCAUCCGCCGCCGCCGCCGUGGCGCUCCAGGAAGAAGCGCAAGUCCGACCGAGAAUCACCGCCGGCGGGCCUCGAUCUCAUCAACGCCCUCCCCGACGCCGUCCUCUGCACCAUCAUCUCCCUCCUUCCCACCAAGGAAGGAGCCCGCACGCAGGCCGCUCCGCGCCCCUCAACCUUGUCGCCGACUUCUCCCUCUCCUGGAAGGAGCGCAAGCUCGUUGUUCUCAUCUCCAGGAUCCUCGCCGAGCACCCUGGCCCAGCCCUCCUCUUCGAGCUCCCCGACAUCCGCCAACGCCACCAUGACACGCUCGACGGCUGGCUUCGCUCCCAGGCCCUCACCGGUCUCCAGAUCCUCUACUUAGGGUACAGCGCCGAUGAUGACAAACACCGCAUGCUACCGCCGCCCGCGCUCCGCUUCGCGCCCACACUCCGCGUUGCCACAUUCCGCCGCUGCCAUUCCCCGGACCUGUCCGGGCGAAUUUUCCAUGCCUCGACAAGUAUGAGGUCACCAUCUCGGCCUUGUCGGCGCAUUCUCUGAAUUUCCCACACCUCAAGCAGCUCAGCAUAUGCGAGGUCACCAUCUCGGGGGACUCUCUGCGCAACAUGCUCUCUGGCUGCCAUUCAUUGGAAAGCCUUUUUUUCUGGAAGGCAUUCUCGGCGUUGCUCGUCUCUGCAUCAGCUCCGCGACUCUUAGGAGCAUCGGCUUCUCUGCAAUAAGGCGGAGGGUGUUGGGGUGGGAUUGUGAUUGGGAUUUCGCUGACCUUUUACAAGAGCUUGUCAUCGAGGACGCUCCUUGCCUUGAGAGGUUGCAGCCCCUCUAUCCAGGUUCUGGUCCAGAGACUGUCCGGGUAAUCCAAGCACCUAAGCUGCAAGUAUUAGGUGUGUUGUCGAGGCAAAUAUUCAAACUCUUCAUUGGAACCACGGUUUUUCAGAAAAUGAUUCCCAUCAGCGUGACAACCACAUGCCCACCGUGAAGGUUUUAGCUAUUGAAUAUGAUGGCCCUAAUCUUGAUACACUAAUUGGCCUGCUCAAGUGCUUCCCCUGCUUGGAGAGGCUGUAUGUCAUUUUUAACGCACGGUCGCGGAUGAAGAUUGAAAGUGUGCAAAAAUAUGGCCCACUAGAUCCAAUUGAAUGCCUCGAGAGCUAUCUCAAAAGAGUGGUGUUGGAGGGCUACUCUGGGGACAAGCCGAAUGUUGAAUUUGCUAAGUUUUUCGUUUUGAAUGCGAAGGUGCUAGAAGAAAUGAAAUUUGGAUCCAUUCACAGCCGCGACCGCGAAUGGAAGUCUAAUCAACACAUGUGGUUACUAGUGGACAGCAGAGCUUCUCGAGACGCUCGAUUCGAAUUCACAAGUCAUUAUUGUAGGCAUAAUGGCCUAGGUAACAGUCAUACACAUGACUUACCAAUGGCCAAUCCCUUCAAGUGCUUUGAUGCUGCAUGCAGAGUCGGCGCGGAAUGCCUAUUUUGUAAGUCAAAGUAAUCCUCCCCUUAUGAAUCUCUGUUCCGUUGUGCUUGAAUGUUACCCUACUUUAGUGAUCUAAAUGCUCUUAUAUUUCUUUACGGAAGGAGUAUUUAGUAUCUUUUCUGUUGAUGUGAUGUUGUAAGUUGUGAGCUGCUACACCAUCAGCUUGCUUCUGUACUGGCUUUAGAAGGCAGGGCCUCUAAUAUUUCAAAAGCUAUAUUUUCUGUUUCGUUAUGCUUGAAUGUUGGUAUUUGACUCGUUUUCCGUAUAUUUUGCAGUGGUUGUUUCUUUCCUGUGUGAUGUAACGUUGUAAUCUGUUUUUAUACUAGCAGCUACUAUGCUUCCGAAACCUGAAACAAUCUCUCUGCCUGCUCGAUGUUCAGACAAACACCAGAGAAAGUGGUGUGCCUCAUUUUGUAACAGGAGAAAGCGUCGAGGUGGCCAAAAACCAGAGAAAAUGAAAUGCAGAGAAGAAAGAGAGCACAGCCAUAUUUCGAACUGCCUUUGCUUUCUCUAAGUUUGGGCACCCGUGUAGUAUGAACGCCUUUCUUAUUUUUCGAACUGCCUUUGCUCCACCAUCCUACAAUUCUCUUUUAGCAAGAAACUCAUAUUUGCUGUAAUAUGAACUUAAUGUCCGGAUGUUAUGAUCUAAUCUGGUCGUGCUUGGAAAGCAACGCCUUAAACUGUUAUUCUGAAAAACAGGUUGCUGAAGCUGUUUUAGUCUGAAACUGGUGGUCUGAAAAUUAGUUUGCUACGAAGUUUACUAAAGCCUCAGUUAGGACUUGUGUGAAACUGCAGUAGGACUUGUCUGGAUUUUCAUAAGUCAAAAAACUACACUGAACCUUCUAAUGGGAACUAUUGGUUUUGGUGCUCUGAUUCAGAUGAUUCAGUUCUUCAACUCAAUACUAUAUGCCGCUAGUGGAGAAGAUAAUGGGUUCAGUCUGCCCAGUUCAGCUUCAUAGAAAAGAUAAUGGUAUCUAUUUUCUAGCCUACUGUAAAUUGUUUCAAAUAACGUGUGGAAACAAUUCAGGUUGCAUACGACAGAAAAAUACAUUUUUUGAAGGUUUUGUACACCAUAUUUCUUUUUUAUCUUCUAAUUAUUAACUUGUGACACGUGAUGCCUAACUGCUUCACUGUUUCUUCUAAUUCAACCCACAGUAGAGAAGAGCUGCAGUACCUGGAUGUUGAUGCAGAGUAGAGAAGACCAGGGUCGGACUCCUGGCGGUCGCUCCACAGUUCACUUGUUCAGAGUGUCGCCGCCUUGGACACAACGGCAUGCGAAUUCAGAACUUUUUUGCACUGAGACACGGGUUCAGGAAUACCCAACAGCUGUUUUGUUUCUGCUGCCUAACCUGAUGUGGUGGUUCAGCACUUGGGUUUAGUUAUUCUGCUUAAAGUUUCAGUCCAGCAGCAGAAAAUGGGUUUGUGUUUGAAUGAGAGCGAGUUCUGAACAUGGCGAUGUUAAUGCACCCAGACACCAGAUGCCGGCGACAAAAUUCUACAGUACAUCGUGUGAUGUUGCUCUACUUCAGUUUGUGCCCGUAAUUCCUGAAAAUUUUACCCUUGCAUUCAGGGCAGGCUGCUCCAGUGAUGACUGAUGAGGAUGGACACGCCCUUGGAAUUACAUGCUGGCAACAUCUACACAAGGGCUAUGUUCGAGAAAUUCGGGGAGAUUCUUUACAAGGCUGGUCAGUACAAGGUGGAGGAGGUGGAUAAAGGUGCAAAGUACCUCGUGCAUCGUUACCAUCCAGAGAAGCAUGACAAAUGGUGCAGGGUUGUGUAUGCCGUGGGAGUUGGCGAUAAUGGUAAGGAGAUUAUGUGCUAUUGGCAAUUUUGAGCAGGCGGGCACACUUGCAGCAGUCAGCAAGACCAGAUUUCAGCUAACUCCAUCACUUUUCGGCAAUCGAACCUGUCCUGUAUACACAUGCUAUAUAUGGAGGUUGUUAGACUUUGUGAUGCAAACACAAGAGCCUAUGAGGUGGCCAUGGACUCUUCAAGGCAGCAAUGCAGAAGCUCACGCCUGUAGCUGCUAUAUAUGUGUGACGGACGGUAUUGGUUUGGAAGACAGGGUUCGCGAGAGCAAGAUCAUGCGUAAACACUAGUAGAAAAGGGCCUAAUGUGACGCACAUUAGUCCCAGUUUGUAACUGAACCGGCAUUAAUGUGACCAUUAGUGUCGGUUCCAACGGCUAGGCGGGUGGAGCUCAUUAGUACCGGUUCGUGGUGUAUCGGUUCGUGCCAUGAACCGGUUCGUGCCAUGAACCGGUGCUAAAGAGGUUGUGGCGGGCUGGGGCCCCAUCAGCAUUUUUAGUACCGGUUCAUGGCAUGAACCGGUACUAGAGUUUUUUAGUUGAUUUUCUUUGCAGCUGUUUUUUAGUCCCACCUCGCCAAGCGAGAGGCACUCGCAGCGGUUUAUAAGCCCUGAGUGUAGAGACGAUGAAGAAGAGACGCAAUGCUCAUCUGCACAUUGCUUAGCUUCAGGCCUUGAGGAAAU